GUUUUGUAGUUUUCUUUGUAUAGAUCUUUCACCUCUUUCGUUAAGUUGAUUCCCAAAUAUCUUUUUUUUUUUUUGAGGUUAUUGUGAAUGGGGUAGUUUUCCUCAUUUCCUUCUCAGAAGUAUUGUUCUCCUGUCUCUGUUCUCAAGUUCUCCUGUCUCUGGAAACCCCUAUUUUCUCUGAUUUCCUACUCUGAGGGCAUGCCCACCCUUCUAGAUGAUCAGAGGUCUUUUCACACCUCACUGUUACAGCCUCCAGGAGACCUGGUUUUCCCCUCGUCUCCCUGUGUCCACGCAGUGCUGCCUUUGUGCUAGUGCCUUAGUGGGCCUUGUCUUUGAGCCUCCAGUGGCCUUGCAUAUGGUGGAGGAACCAGGGUUGACUUACAAGGAGCCCCAGAAGGGCAAGGGGCAAGCAGGGGUGAGGCUAGCCACCACCCUUAGAAGAGCUCCUGGGAAGAGUGGUUGGGUGUCAUACACACCAAGUCCCAGGUGGGAACCUUUGAAAUUGUAACCGGAAGCUCAGUCCUCAUCCUCAAUGUCAAUCCAAUAACAAAGACAAAGUCUUGAGAAAAAUGAAGAUGUUUUAUUGCUUUGCUUGCAAAAGAGAAACCCAAGGGACUCCUGUCCCAGAGCCAGUGAUUCUGCCCAUCAUGGGAAAUAGGAGUUUUUUAAAGAGGUAAUUCAGAGAAAAAUGAGACUAGGGAAGAGAGAUCAAGGAGGAUAAAGGUCAGGGAAAAGAAGUUUUGGAAAAAGAAUAAAACAUAAGUUUCAAGGCAACAAGGGAUAUAGUCAAAGCACUAACUGAACCCCUGUUACAAAAUGACAUUGCAUUCAGUCCUCACCGCCAUUUGCAGGGAAGGUUAUCUUGCACACCCCACCUCUGGGUGAGGCAGAGAAGGGAGCCGUGGGUGGGGCAGAGAUGGGAGGUUGGUUGUUGAUGGUGAACUGAGCAAUAGAGCAGAGCAAAUGGAGGCAGGAAGCAGGUGGCCUCGGACUCCUGCUGACCUGCAUGCCUGGUGGCAGGUGGUGUAUGAAGAGAGCUGUAUGGGUAGCCUGAUGGCCUCCUAUGUGACAGGCCUUUCUGGCCUUCCUCGAGUUGCCCUUUCUGGUGGAUUUGGGACAGUUGCUAUAGGAGAAGGAGCCAGGACUCAUGCCCCAGACAGGUACUUCCUCCCAGGGGCAGGAAGUGGACCCUCUGCUUUUGCCUGGGGGAGGGAAGGCCCCCUGAAAGCCACUACUACUCAUAGUCAGAAAAGAAGAGGGUUUUCUGAAAGCUGGACCCCUGUGGCAGUUCCCCUUUUUUCUGCCCCACAAGCCCAACCUGAGGAGUGAGGGUCAGCUUAGCUGAUGUGAUUCCCUGUGGCUUUGUAGGUCGUGUUUCUGGGUGAAAAUGGGGGUGUUCCACCACUGAGAUAAUCUUGCUCUCCCCAAAGGAAAGGUCAGAGUGGACACUGGGAGAGACCAGAAGAGGGCGUGUCUGACCCCAUGUAAGAGCUUCUGCUGCCAUCCAGGCUUUGAUGGCUCCUUUCUGGACUCAUUUUCAUCAUCGGCAGUGAGACCACAGGACAGAUCCCCCACCCAGAGGAGAGCCCCCCUUUCACCCCACCUUUACUACCUACCCCUUCUCUUGCCCACAGUACCGUACACUGGCCCAUCUCCAGGACCAUGGUCCAGUGCCAACCUGGCCACUGUGAAAAGUCACAGGGCCUGAGCUCAGGGAGCCCCCUCACCACCGUCCCUGAGCUGGACAGUCUGUCCUCUGUCCAUAAUCAGACAGGAGAGCCACUUCCUGCAGAUGCAGGGACCUUGGCCCAGGAGGGUGCUGAGGUUGAUGGUCAUCCUGGCCACUGCCCUUGGACCUCAUGGCCCCAAAGCCAAAGGGUAAACUCAUGUUGACCUGGAUGCUAGUCCUGGGACCCGCCGGCUGCUCCUGGGCAUGGGCACCCAGGCCAUGGGAACAUAUGCAUAGACUUGAGGGCAGCAGCAAAGGGGAGAGGAAGAGGGAAAUUGCCAGAAAAUGAAAGAAAGAACAGGGUGACGUGGUGUGAGCAUGCUGAUUAGGCUGCUGGGCCUGCCCCAACCUCACCCAUGAAGUCAGGGCUCAGAGGUUCCUGGAGUCUGGGCCCUGAGUGCUCUGCUGGUCUGUAGAUGGUGAGAUUCUGUUCAUCCCUCAUCCUGGGCCCACCUCCAGGCUGCAUGGCUUAGUGCUGCCCAACCCCACUGCCCCAGUUCACCCUCCUCUGCCCACUGCCAAGCUUUGGGGUGGCCUGCUACAUUGGUGUCCUCACAAAGCUGCCCUGCACUGGAGUGGCCAAGAAACUCCUGCAGGUAGACAUGCUGGAGAAGAGUGCCCUGCACAAGGAGAAGGUAGGGAGGCCUGGACAGCCUGGGCCCAGCCAGCAGGUGCCUGGAAUGGUCCUGGGGAUGGGAAGGACGGGUCAGCUACCUCCCGCAUACGUCUGUAUCCCUGGAUCCUGGCCUGGAGUAAAGCACACCUGGUGUUCUCUGGUGCCUCUCUCCGUGUAGCCCUGGGUGGUACAUCCCAGCUUGUGGCUUGCAACCCCUGGGGCCCCUGACUCCUCCCUGUGCUGUGAUUGCCUCUUCCAUCUCCACCUCUGUGCUGCUGCCACACUCAUGUAGAUUAUUGUAGGGUAUGUCCCCCAGUCACCCCCAUGCCAUCCCAGGUGCCAGGCUUUGGACCACUGCUCCUGCCUGUGACUGCAUCCACACCCUUUCUCACCCCUGCAUCUCCCUCUUCUGGCCCUGCAGCAUGCACAGGGGAGGUGACAUUAACACUUUGGCUCUUCUAUUGCACAGCACAUUCUGAGAGCAAAGACCCCAUCUGUCCUUUCCUCCAGCAGAGGCACCUGUGUGGAGCACUCACUCCAUAAACAUCUGUGGAGGACAUGGCGGUCCAGACCCUACCCAGGCCAAUGUGACCCACACUGGGCCCAUCCUCUCCCCUCCGGUGGAAAGUAUGGAGGUGACACACAUGUCCAAGUUCCCAGUAGGGAGGAAGCAGAAAGAAGCUAGUAGCUAAGUCCUCGUCACAGUCUGCUGCCAGGGUGGCCCUGUGUGCCCUGACCCACUCCUCUACUUACCAGUUCUGUGGUCCCAGAUUCAGCUCCUGCAGGCUGAGGGAGAUGCAUCCUCUGACGGGAGGGUCUAGAACUGUCCUGGGAAUGAUGACUAGCCUGGGCCUUCACCCUACUCUGCCAGGUCAGAGGCACUGCAUGCACUUGCACGUGUGCACCCCAGACCCUCUGAUGCCAGCACUCGCCCACCCUGCCCAGAGACAGGCACCGGGAAGGAGCCUAAGGGCUGGGAGUCCAAGAACUCCCUGCUACCACCAAGGACCUCAUCAGAGCCUCCAGUCCCUGUGGCUGGCCUGGACCUGGGGGCAUGUGUUCCUGCAGCUCUGACCUCCUUUCCAUGCUGUAGGCCCUGAAGAGCCAUAGCCUCAGCAACAAGCCUCUCUACAUCUCCAUGGGCCACAAGAUGAGCCUGGAGGCAGCCAUGUGCCUGAUCUGAUGCUGCUGCAGGUUCUGGAUCCCAGAGUCCUUGUGCCAAGCGGGGUUCAGCACAUGCUCCUCCACUUCUCACCAUUUGUCAGCUGAGCUGGAGUCACAGAGCAGUGGUUUGAGGACAAGAUGGCCCUGGGCUGAGGGCAAGUCCAUGAGCCCUUGCUGGGGAACCUGGUGUGGACAUAUUGGGCCCUGGAGGCAGGAGGGUAGAUAGGAGGAGGCAGAGUUCCUAGGAUUCUACCUGAGAUUUCCUGCCUGUGCCUCAGAAGCUACUUAGCCUAACACUCAGCUUCGCCCUUACUUGAGCCUCCUGCACCUGGGUACCAGGUUGUCUGGAGGAUCAUUUGAUGUCAGCUCUAAUGGCAGAGUGCUCCACCAGCAGCCCUCAGCUGGAGGCCCUUGCUGGACACUGGGGGCAAGUGCUGAGGAAGGCUCGUGCUGGCAUCAGGAACUCCAGGGUGUGGCUAUGCCAGGUACCCAGCACCUAAACUGGUGCUCAGGGGUCAGGGGAUCAGCUCUCUGAUGAGCCAGUGGGCUCAGCUGAGAAGGAACUCAGCCUGCAGCUGAGCACACAUGGCCCACAGCUCACCUUCCUAGUCAUGACGAGGGGACACCAGUCCCAUACUAGCAUGUGUUCCACAGAAGCUGUAAGGUGAAAUCCCAAGAGAAGCCAUCCUCAGGAAGAGAGAAAUCCGGCUCAGGAACAGUAUUUGCAAAAGCCUCAGGGCAAAGAGGACAUUGAUGUUUUGAACAUGGUUUUUGUUUAUGUGGCUCAAAUAUAAACCCAUGUUAAAAAAUACUGAAGACUCACCUAUGUUUCAUCCCCACUAAUCUUUAACCAUUGCCCUUCAUGAACAACUGAUUUAAUUGUUUCUAGUAUAUAUUCUUACUUUUUUCUUUUUUUGGUAGGAGGCAUUAACAAUAAUAAAUUACUAUGUAAAUUUCUUUCUUACCCAAAAUAGAGUGCUCCUGUAUAUCCUUUCUGCCCCUUAUUAUUCACUCAAUGAAACAACCUGGAAAACACUCCACAUAUGUAAAAAUCUUAACUUUCCAUGAUAUAGAUAGACAAAAGUUGGAACUAAACAAAUGAUGGACAUUUGGACUAUUUCUGAAUUUCAUUUCUUAACAAUAUUUCUGUAUUGAAUAGCUCUGGGAAUCUAUUUUAUAUUCUUGAAAAUGUACAUUCAAUGUUCAGUCCUGCAAGAAAUAUUGCUUUAUCAAUGGCUAUUUUUUUAUAUAUUUUCAAAUAAUAAAGCCCAAUUCACUGGAGGGUUGCAACAUUUUUCUUUCUCCCAGCAGGUAUACAAGUUCAUGCUUUCUGUAGAUGCCCCGUAUACAGAGGCCACAUUUUGGAUAUUCUGUGCACUAUCACAAUGUGCUUGUAAUUUAUUUUUUUUUCUGAGAGAACCAUUUCCUAUUUCUGUUAUUUUUUUCUUUUUACAUAUGAUUGAUACCAUGUCAUGGUUACAGAAGAAAACAGCAGUGUCCUACCCUAAAUAAACCCAUGGCUUGGUGAGAGUUCAAUGCUGAAAACAAUAACUUCUUCCCAGUACAAUGAUCACCAAGAACAAAAUGCAUUUUGGUAGUUUGUGUCUUCCAACAAAUUGAUCUAUGUAAUCCAAGUCCUUAUACCUAUGGACUGAGAAUUUUAAGUAUUGUUUAUUUAUUUUAAUGUUCAUGUAUUAAUAGUGAUAACAUCAUUUAUUUUUUAGUUAGAUUUUUGUCUAUUUAUUGACUUUUAGAAAGACCUGAGGACAUGAGCCUUAGAGAAAAGACUUCCUGGAACACCCCCAAUAUUGAAAAUAAAUGCCUUAGAAAGUAAUGCAUCGGUACAAUUGUUCAGCAUACAGUAAUAAAUGUAAGAACAUGUUAGGUCUCACUGAUGAUGGCAGUAGAAGAGAACGAGAAUGAAGCAUUCAUGAACAUGUAGAAUACCCACAAGGAACAAGGAAUCACAGGCUCUGAUGUGAGAAUUGAUGGUUGAACUAUGCCAAGCAGGAGCUUCUGGGGCUGAGGGUGGUGUCAUAGAGAACACUCAGCGGGCAGGUGGUACAAAUGGAGAAGCACCCCCCAAAAAACUGAUGAAAGUAGAUUAUUAAUUUUUAUUUGACGUCAUCUCCAAAAUUAUGAGACAAAAACAUCUGUAAAUAUGAACCCCAUAAUUAUCAGCAUCCCUAGAUGUAUUAGAGCCAAGAUACCAAUGGUAAAGAUCUUGGGCUAGAUCUUGUGCUAGAAAAGGAAUGUGAAGUUUCAGAAGAAAAUUCUGGUGUUAGCUGAAAUCUCAAAACAAACUUCAGAGGAAAUGUUUCUUUUACUAAUAAAAUAAUAUUGUUUGUU
This is a non-coding RNA of Ictidomys tridecemlineatus (thirteen-lined ground squirrel), 5858 nucleotides long. NCBI's taxonomy places the organism in Eukaryota, Metazoa, Chordata, Mammalia, Rodentia, Sciuridae. The record is from RefSeq and is a predicted model, not a curated record.